This 366-nucleotide ribosomal RNA is filed under the name uncultured Gammaproteobacteria bacterium. Its description in RNAcentral is "bacterial SSU rRNA". It matches the Rfam family "Bacterial small subunit ribosomal RNA", at positions 1017 to 1382 of the family's 1533-position model. The record is from RNAcentral. Lineage: Bacteria; Pseudomonadati; Pseudomonadota; Gammaproteobacteria.
UUCGGGGGGACAGGGUGACAGGUGGUGCAUGGUUGUCGUCAGCUCGUGUCGUGAGAUGUUGGGUUAAGUCCCGUAACGAGCGCAACCCUUGUCCUUAGUUGCCAGCGGUUUGGCCGGGAACUCUAAGGAGACUGCCGGUGAUAAACCGGAGGAAGGUGGGACGACGUCAAGUCAUCAUGGCCCUUAUGGGCAGGGCUACACACGUGCUACAAUGGCCAGUACAGAAGGUUGCCAACCCGCGAGGGGGAGCUAAUCCUACAAAGCUGGUCGUAGUCCGGAUCGCAGUCUGCAACUCGACUGCGUGAAGUCGGAAUCGCUAGUAAUCGCGAAUCAGCAUGUCCGCGGUCCGAAUACGUUCCGGGCCUU